RNAcentral lists this non-coding RNA (106 nucleotides) under Acidaminococcus timonensis. RNAcentral's name for it is "SAM riboswitch (S box leader)". It matches the Rfam family "SAM riboswitch aptamer (S box leader)". From Rfam's summary of the family: The SAM riboswitch is found upstream of a number of genes which code for proteins involved in methionine or cysteine biosynthesis in Gram-positive bacteria. The record is from RNAcentral. Lineage: Bacteria; Bacillati; Bacillota; Negativicutes; Acidaminococcales; Acidaminococcaceae.
CUCAUCAAGAGUGGUGGAGGGAAUGGCCCUGUGAAGCCACAGCAACCAUGGCCUUUGGGUCAACGGUGCUAAGUCCUGCAAUGCGUUAUCCGAUUGUGAGAUGAGA